CUGGGAUAAAAAUGGGAGCUGCUGGGAUAAAAUUGGACGGCUCGUUCACACUUGAAGCAACCGCAAAUACCUUAAAAUCCCUCUUAGUCAAACUAAAGGGGCUCAAAAUCUUAGAAGUGUGUAGUUCAGGGAGUUUAAUGGAAACAUAGUGAAGAGUACAGGAAUUCAUGCUUUGGUAGAGUGGGCGUGAGCUGAUCUCUAGAAAUUAGCGGAGCAGCAG
Molecule: unclassified non-coding RNA, 220 nt
Filed under: Hevea brasiliensis (rubber tree)
Lineage: Eukaryota; Viridiplantae; Streptophyta; Magnoliopsida; Malpighiales; Euphorbiaceae
Source: RNAcentral